RNAcentral lists this non-coding RNA (92 nucleotides) under Pseudomonas sp. SJZ077. The record is from RNAcentral. RNAcentral also lists the same sequence under 1 other name. Lineage: Bacteria; Pseudomonadati; Pseudomonadota; Gammaproteobacteria; Pseudomonadales; Pseudomonadaceae.
AGUUAUGGCGGCUGUGCGUGGGAGACCUUCGGGUCUGCCGGGUUUUGACCUUUUAUCUCGGUUUUUCCAGUCCGCGUACAGCUGCCACCUUU